CAGCCGCCACGGGAAUACGUAGGGUGCAAGCGUUAAUCGGAAUUACUGGGCGUAAAGCGUGCGCAGGCGGUUUUGUAAGACAGAGGUGAAAUCCCCGGGCUCAACCUGGGAACUGCCUUUGUGACUGCAAGGCUAGAGUACGGCAGAGGGGGAUGGAAUUCCGCGUGUAGCAGUGAAAUGCGUAGAUAUGCGGAGGAACACCGAUGGCGAAGGCAAUCCCCUGGGCCUGUACUGACGCUCAUGCACGAAAGCGUGGGGAGCAAACAGGAUUAGAUACCCGGGUAGUCCCUGUCUCUUAUAC
Molecule: ribosomal RNA, 301 nt
Filed under: uncultured bacterium
Lineage: Bacteria
Description: partial 16S ribosomal RNA
Rfam family: Bacterial small subunit ribosomal RNA
Source: RNAcentral